Molecule: small nucleolar RNA, 138 nt
Organism: Ornithorhynchus anatinus (platypus)
Lineage: Eukaryota; Metazoa; Chordata; Mammalia; Monotremata; Ornithorhynchidae
Source: RefSeq, a predicted model, not a curated record
CCCCUCUGAGGAUGGCACCUGGAGAGUUUCCAGUAUUUUACCAGCCUCGGCUCCAGGAGGGAGGGGCAAGCAGGGGCCUACCCAUUCCAUUCCUUGCCUGGGCGGAGGCUAGCGAGUGGAAGGCCAUCUGCUACAAAU